GGGGAAUAUUGCACAAUGGGCGAAAGCCUGAUGCAGCAACGCCGCGUGAGUGAUGAAGGUCUUCGGAUUGUAAAGCUCUGUCUUUUGGGACGAUAAUGACGGUACCAAAGGAGGAAGCCACGGCUAACUACGUGCCAGCAGCCGCGGUAAUACGUAGGUGGCGAGCGUUGUCCGGAUUUACUGGGCGUAAAGGGUGCGUAGGCGGAUGUUUAAGUGAGAUGUGA
This 224-nucleotide ribosomal RNA is filed under the name uncultured bacterium. RNAcentral's name for it is "partial 16S ribosomal RNA". It matches the Rfam family "Bacterial small subunit ribosomal RNA", at positions 356 to 597 of the family's 1533-position model. The record is from RNAcentral.